RNAcentral lists this ribosomal RNA (253 nucleotides) under uncultured bacterium. RNAcentral describes it as "partial 16S ribosomal RNA". It matches the Rfam family "Bacterial small subunit ribosomal RNA", at positions 524 to 776 of the family's 1533-position model. The record is from RNAcentral.
UACGGAGGGUGCAAGCGUUAUCCGGAUUCACUGGGUUUAAAGGGUGCGUAGGCGGGCAGGUAAGUCAGUGGUGAAAUCUCCGGGCUUAACCCGGAAACUGCCGUUGAUACUAUCUGUCUUGAAUAUCGUGGAGGUAAGCGGAAUAUGUCAUGUAGCGGUGAAAUGCUUAGAUAUGACAUAGAACACCAAUUGCGAAGGCAGCUCACUACACAAUUAUUGACUCUGAGGCACGAAAGCGUGGGGAUCAAACAGG